Long non-coding RNA from Formica exsecta, 393 nucleotides. RefSeq lists it as uncharacterized. The transcript has 3 exons. The record is from RefSeq and is a predicted model, not a curated record. Lineage: Eukaryota; Metazoa; Arthropoda; Insecta; Hymenoptera; Formicidae.
GAUAACGGCAAAUCUAUAUGUACACGUUGUAAACUUUCUUUUACGACGAAUCUUUUAAAAUGCAUCUUUUUGCAGGAAUUAGACGCUUUAAAAAUUGUGUUCUUUUUUUUCUGGCCAUGUUAUUAUCGGAAUUGAUUGUAUUUUAUCGUGUUUUUGGUUCUGAAUACGUGGUUUGGAUCACCAACGGGUACACACGUAUCAAUGACAUUAUCGAUUAACUGGCACAGACUCUACUUGUUUUGGUUUCGUGUAAAAAAUAAUAUUGCGCAUGUUAAGGUUUGAAUAGGAAUUUAAUUUCUAUACAUUUUUAUCUGCUGAAAAUGGAUUAAAAAACGAUCUGAAAUGUACAUAUUUAAUGCAUACUUGUGAAAUUAAACAACAAAAAAUUUGCGC